Taeniopygia guttata (zebra finch) is the source of this 12118-nucleotide non-coding RNA. The record is from RefSeq and is a predicted model, not a curated record. NCBI's taxonomy places the organism in Eukaryota, Metazoa, Chordata, Aves, Passeriformes, Estrildidae.
CUCUUGCCAACUUUUGUUUUUUCCAAAGUGCAAGAAUUCUGCCUCCAGCAGUGAUGCCUGAUACAUCAGUUACUGCUUGUACCAGAUGUUUACAUUGGCAGGGCUGCCUGUGAGAGGAAAGAGAACACGAUGUGAUCUCCUGCUGGUCUGUACCACAGAAUAUCCCCACGGGUCUCUUUGUUGGCUGCCUCCAUUCUGACACUACUUUCUGACUGUGCUUGCAAAAAUUUAUCUUCCUUCUGUUAAGCCAUCCCACAGGGCCAAGAAGGAAGACUUUGGAGGAAUUUUGUGUAAACAAUUCCCCAUCGUAAACCUACCAAAUGAUCUAAUGCAGUGAGUAAGGGAGAUCACCCAUUCUAAAAUUACCAGCUUGUUCAAGUGAUUCUCCAUGCUGAGUAAAUAAGGAAGCAGAAGAGUAUUGCUGUUUGUAGCCCUCAGCCCUGGUUUGCUGAAAAUUUCCUUUAAAAGCCUCUUUUCAGCCUCGUGCAUUUUUCACCGCUUGGGUCAGCUCUUUAUGGGAGCCUACAGUAGGAAACCAAUUAUCUUAUGAGUAGUAAAGCAAAAAAAGCAAAAUUCAAAUAAAUAAAAAUAAAUGUACUAACUCUAAGGCCUUCAAUACAUCUUCCACAAAGCAAUUAAACAGGCUGAACAAUCAGGAGAUAUUCAGUGUUGUAUCCCUAACCUAAAAGAAGCUGUCACAUAUUCGGCCUUUCUUUUCACAAGCCAAGGAUUUUUGAAAAUUACAAGCUCAUUUUCCUGGCCCAAAUGGCUUUUCAGGUGAGGAAAAAUUUUCAUAUGGAUGAUGACGACAUUUACUGGAUUUACUGUUUUUCCUCUGGAAGCUCAUGCCUGUGCCCAAACCCUGUGGUUGUGUAGUUUCUCACACAGGGUGACUGCUACUUCAGUGUCAACAGUAAUUGCAGAAAUUCCAGAGAUGUUAUCAUGUAAUUAUUUUUAUUUAAAAUGCUCCAAUGUCUUUAUAAAGCUAGGUUCAGGAUAAACAGCAUGACUUAGCUGCUUGCACUUGGAUAAUUAGGGUUGAAAUUGUAUAUAUAAGUAAAAAGUAAAUAAUACAUAUCCAAAUAACAUUCAGGCCAUUACUUUUCCUUUUAAUAUUAGUAGCUGUAUGUCCUAGAAAAAGUCAGGGCUCAGGUGUACAGGAAGUCAGAGGUGUCUCUGAAGCAACUCUGAUGACCUUCUUCUAUUUUGUGUGCUGCCAUGGCUCUUCUAAGUAGUAAAGAGAUAGGACUCCUUGAAUUGGAUUUCCUUUUUCAGUUCAGAGUUGAACACAAGAGAAUCCUGUUGACAUUUUAACUAUACAGCCAUGGAGUAUCAUUAGAGUAGUUUGGGAAAAUUGCUUUUCAGUUCUAUACCUUUUUUGUUAUUAUUUCUGGACAUGUGCCUCACCUAGACACUUUCAGAUAAAGUCAUGCAUUCUACCAUAAUUUUUUCAGUAGAAAUAGUGAUAUUUUCAAAGUGGAGAUUUCUUCACUCUUUGAAUGCCUUUUUCCUUAAACAUCACAUACUGUAUCCUGUGAGGAAAUUCUGUUCUACCAUAAUUUGUCCACUCCCCUAAAAGUAGAAUUUUAACUCCCUGCCACUCACUUUAGUAAAUGUCCCAUAGAGGGUUUCCAGUUUGUCAUAUCUAGAUGUUUAACAGUAAGCAGAUAAUGGCAAUACCAACCAAAGUAAAUUCUCACCAAUAAUACUGUUUUUAUUUAUGCAUGCUUGUGUGUAUAUAUUUAGUAUUUUAUUUAUUUAAUGGUGUAUUAUUUAUGUAAUUUCGUAUUUUAAGGCAAGUUCCGAGUCCCUUAGUUGCACUAGGGGUUUUUACAUACAUCAAAAAUUAUCAGUGCCAUCCUGUUUCAGUCAUCAUGCAAAAGGUACGUCUGUAUUUGGCAUGCUUCCAGGCUAUGGCAGUGACAGUUGUGUCCAGAGGGGUAGAUAAAGAUAUUUAAAGAUCCACCAAGAAAUGGUAGAAAUGAGUGGACUCAACAUAUCCAGAAAAGGAGAAAAAAAGCUCUUUUCAGAAACUAGCAAUACUGUCCAGGACAGAAUAUCGUAUGCUCUGAGGUUGGAAAUCUGAGGAUUCCUUUUUCAGGGCAAGUGUGUGUGAGGGUAGUGCCUUGCAUGACAAAUACAGAUCUUAAGAAGCAAGCAAAUAACUUUUAGAACUGGGUGGUCAACCAGAAUUUGAGAUCAAUUACUGUGGUCCUUCACAGCCUGUUCUCCUGAUGAAAAGUUUAUGAAAAGGUAGUGUGGUAAAACAUGAGUCACAUGAGCAUAUUUGGAGAGCUGUGAUUGUGAUUUCUUUUAGAUUGAAUAUAGGUAUCUGAGGAGAACAGUCAUUGAUAAAUAGGCAUACAGUAAGCUAUCCUCUUAAUAACUAUAAAUGUCUUUUUCAGUGUUAGUUCUCAUUAUGGUAUUAGAGCUGGUAGGUAACCCCACAGGAUGACAGUUUUUCAGGUCUCCCUUUUGAAAUUUCUAUGAUACCAAGAAAGAUUCUGUAUGUCUUCAGCUGUGGAUACUGACACAUUUGUUUUCCAUCUGUACGGUUUUUGUCUUUUGGUCCCAAGUAAUGACUAUAGACCUGUUGUUCCACAUUCCACAGUCACCAUUUUUGUGUGACUUCUGAGAAUGCAAGCUUGGUCCUAGGUAUUUAUUUUGCCCAACUGCCCCAGCUUUAUGCGACAGUAUUGCCUGCAUAUAUAAUGAGAUAAUGAGGUCCUUUUUAUUCAGAAGUUGCUCUUUUCUAUCAUAUGGCCACUGCCCUGCAGGGAAAUGGGAAAGAUCAUCUUCUCUCUUUCUUCACCACCUGCUUACCUUCCUGCCUUCAGUUCACUCUCCUGAUGAUUUCUCUGAUGAAAUGACCAUUGGUGUCAGAUACUCAAGUCUGAGAAUGGCGCAGACCAGAAGUAGUUAUCAAGGCACAUCUUUUGUGUUUAGCAGAUGUUUUGUCAUGUAUAGAAAUUGUGUGGAGAAAAAUCUUGGCUCAAGGUACUCGAAAAGCACAACGAUGGAUUUAGCAAAAUGCUAAGAAGAGAGCAGUCCAGCCACUCCUGUGUUUUUCAUCCUGUCUUCAGGACUAGACCCACUUGAAUAUCAUGAGACCAUACAUAAGCCUCUUACUUGCUUCUGGUUCAAGGACCACUUAACUGUCUCCCAUUAAAGAAAGAACAAUUGAGCUUGAAAGUGAAAUGGGGUAUACGGGGCUAGAAAUGUGGAUAAACUGAUGUAUGGUUAUGUGCUUGUGUGUAUGUGCUUCUAGAAGUGUAUGUGUAGUUAUAUUUUCUUCUCUGAACAGAACAAAGCCUUCUGGAUUAAGCUGUCACUGGGAUGGAAUAUGCAUUCCUGUGGGGAAAUUGGGCACAGUUUAUUUUUGGCAGAAGAUUCAACUUCCAAAGUUUCUUCCACCCCCACCAUAUUCAUGGCAAUGGGGUGGAUGAAAAGUAUAUGACCAUAAGCACUACAGUAUGAAGACAUUUUCAGAGCAUUCCUCUGCUUGGCAUAAUGCAGGGUUUUUUUGUACUGUUUUCUACCUUUUUGACUAGAUGAGGGCCAGAGGGCAAUUUUCUCCAUGCUCAUGUAAUCUUGUGCCCCCUGUGACUAAAUAAUGGUCAUUAUACAAACUAUAUUCAAUUGUAUAGGGUUCUGUGGCUUUAUAUGUAGGAUUACUAUUCCCCACAGACAAUAGUGAGAAUACCAGGUUAAUACAGCUGUGACCUCACUGUGCUCAAUUUAAGCUCAGGCCCCACAAGGUGAGAGGCUUGUGCAUUUACCCACUGAACCAAUCAGUUAAAAAACUGAUGUGAUAUCUACCACAUGUUGCUCUCUUUUUCAUGAGGGAAUUGCUCUGUACCCCCCAUAAGAGUUUCUAAAGCUCAGUAACAAUGCUGAGCAUCUAUCAAAAUGUCAAAAGGUUCAUUAUCUUAAAACCAAGGGAACAGAUUUCUGCAGGCUUUUUCUAAUACCAGCAAUAAGGCCACUGUUGAGAGCUCGCAAUUUUGCUUGUUGAAAUUGUAAGGGUUUAGUGAAGUGCUUCAGAGGAAGUAAUAUGUACUGCACAAGUGAUAGUGAAAUUAAUGGGGGCUUUAUCAUUCUUUUUCUUUUCUGCUCUGCUAAUUUUCCCAUCUCCUCCCCCUACAUCACUUACCCUUCCCCAAUUAUUUCUAUUGCAGGCAAAAAGAUUGGGUUCACUAUAGGUUCAGGAAGAUUUCAUAACAUCACUCUAGGACAAAAGCAGGAGAUGGUUGCAAAGGAGGCGCUCAAGAAAGCUGCCCCACAUGGCCAUUGGGUUCUUUUCCAAUGCUUUGCCAGCUCCAACCACAAAAGAGCACAUCAUUCCCCAAGGAAUACUAGAAAAUUCAAUUAAAAUUACUGGUGAACCUCCUGCAAGGAUGCUGGCUAAUUUCCACGCUGGUUUUGACCAGGUUCUGCUUGGUGGGUGGAAAGAAGAAGGCAGAGAAAGAAGACAUGAGAAUGUGGAGAACAGGCUCGUCACAGAUUGUGCGUAACCUCCUUCCCUCCAGAUCCCUGGUCAUCCCUGUCUGCUACUCCAAGAACUUGUAGAAAGAUCUUCAGUUCCAUUGUGAGUCAGCUUCCCUGCAGCAGUGGCUGGAGCAGUCAGCUUGCUCUCAUCAGCAAAGCAGACCAUGAUGGAGGCAGCCAGAACUGCACACUUUGGCCUUCCAGCAAGGGGAUCCUUGAACUGCACGCCAGAGAAGGGGAAUUUAAAAGCACCCUUUUCCCUCUGUGCAAUUUUCACAGGUGCAUUCCUGGGAGACUGAAGUUUGGCCCUUGGGGCUGGAAUGGAAGGUACCAAAUCCUCACCUGGGAUUUCCAUCUGCAUCGCUGUCCUCAGCAACUGCUCAGAGGCCCACCAGAAGGUGGGCUCCACAGGAGGACUCACAUAACCUCCUUGGUGAGAUCACAUAAGGUGGCCACAUCAUGGGUGCCUGGUACUGCAGGCUCUGCUGAAUCUGUCUGCAAGAAUUCCUCAGCCCAGCCCUGGUGAGAACUUUCAUAUGUGCCUAAAGCUCUGGAACACAGUAUGUUUAACCUAAGGGAAAGAGAAGACCACGCGCUUUCUCAUCCAAUCUGUAGCAAGGUCUUGUCUGGCUGUGGGAGAAAAAAAUUGCUGAUAAUUUAUCAUGAGCAGAUUUUGGCUGAAAGGGUUUGUGAGUUGGCAUACUGCUUGUCUACUUUUGCAAGUACCAUUAAUUGGUAACUUGAAUUCUGUACUUUGUAACACUGCUUGUAUAGUGAGCUUAAUAUUAUCAGAUACACUUAGGUCUCCAUUUUCCUAGGAAAACUAUUUUAAGGUGCUUCCAUUUAGAAAGUUUUAGGUAGGCAUGGGAAAGUAUCUUUUAUGGAACUGCUCUUUAACCAACGUAACUGAUAGACUCACCAGUUUCAGCAGUCCAGAAUGGCACCAUCCUCAGAACUUACACUUACUCUUUGCACAUUUUCUUCUUCAGAAAAUAAUGGAAAUGUUAUACAUUUCCCUGCACCUCACUCUUUUUAAAAUAGAGAAAAUAGCUUGUAAGACCGUUUUCAAUUUUCCACUACCUUCUCACACAUCUGUUUCUGUAGCUUUGUCAGGUUAUCACCAGCUGACAUAUACUGAAUUAUUCAAAUUUCAUUAUUGAGUUUUCAUCCUGGACAGCAGUGUAUGUGGAACAUCUAUGACUCCAAAGGGCCAGAUUGCCAAAGUUGCUUCUAAUCAGCAGCAAAUGCUAAAAUUUUUGAGGCUAUAAAAAGAAAAUGUUGCUUUAACUUUAGUUUUAAGAAGUUUUGCAUGGAAACUGCAAAAUCUCAUAUAUGCAGUUAUAACAAAUGUGGAUGCUUAUACAGGGGCAUGUGUAUAUAUUUACACACAUAUAUAAUAUAGAUAUAUACUAUAUGUAUUAUAUAUAUGUACUUUUUAAUAUGUAUAUAAAUAUUUAAAAACUCUGUCUGCUUCUCCUUAGCUGUUGAAGAAGCCACUUUAGAGAACUGACUCUACACAAUUUGCUAAAAACAACCAAGAGAUUUUUCAAGCGUCCUUUCCAAAAUUGUUAUUUUUCAUUGUCCAAAGGUAAAAAAGCUCAUUUAUGAGGAAAAAAAAUAAAAAUUACCAUGUUAUGUGUGAGCAGGCCAUUUGUGGAGCCGGGCUAAGCUGGGAAAAGUGCCCCUUUCACCCUUGGCAGUGUGUUUAAGCUUGCCUUUCGGCUGUGAACGAGAGGAGCGGGCUGGUGUCUCCCUGGUCCUGAAGAAGCAGGAUUUCAUAUGUCAAAGAGCCACACUCAGAUGAAGGCAAUCGGAAGUAACUGCUCAGAAGAAGAUGCCCAAGAGUAAGUUGCCAUGGAGAUGGAAAGGCUAAACACCACUGUACUCCUGACCUCGAAAGAGGCUGAUUUCUCCACAUGACAGCUGAGGUCGUGGGGGCAUGGUGGGAAGCUCACCCUGCCGGCUCCAGCUCUGCCUCUAGCCUAUGGAUAAGUAAAGAAUUAGUGCUUUACUACUUUAGGUAGUCCAUUAACCUUCACAAGCCUGAACUUUCAUUCAAAUAAUUGCAAAAUAAGUAUAGGUGGUGAAACCUGAACAGAAUCACUGCUAUUUGUAUGGCCUUUGGAAAGUUUAGGGACCCAACCCUUAGCGUGGAUCCACUGGUAUUUUAAACAGUGAGGUAUCUUUCUUAGCUUCUUGCUGUAAUUAGAAAAAGUUAAAGCCCAGAAUUACCAGCAAAACCAGGAAAUCAUUCAGUGACUGGCAGCCAAUGAAUGGAUGGUCCUUCAUUGGUGGUGGGGCUUUGUGUUCCCUGGGGAGAUUACCAUCUCUUUUAAACUUCUUGCUUUAUGAUGAGUUCUUUUAGCUAUAAAUUCAUUCCACAGGGUCCAUUAGAAUAACCCACCAUGUGUCAGCUUUGAUAGACCUCACCCAGGAACAAUCAUAAAGACAGAAGGGUGGCAAGCUCCUGCUUCAUAUCCCCGUAACCCAUAGCCUCCCUCUGUGCACAUGACUCCCACAGAUGCAGUAAAACCUGAUUUAAGUGCCAGCAGAGAGAGACUGGUAAGUACAGAUUGUCUGACAGAAUUGAUCUUCCACUCGAGGUAAAUAACAGGGCUUUUUUCAAAACCUCAGCACUACUUCAAAGUGGCUGUAUCUUAAGAUACAGCUUAUUGUGGGUGAGGUUAGUGGUGCAAGUUCAGGCACAGGUAAAUGGCUGGUUGCAGAACCAAAAUUACUUCAGAAAUAAGUGCUUACUGGUGUUAUUUUGAGCAGUAGCUUGUUGUAGACUGUUCUAAAUGCCAGAAGCUGUUAAAUGUUAUUGUGAUUUUGUGAAGUGGACCCUGCAUUAGGAAGAAAUAGCUUUUGUGAAAAGUACCACUUAGAGCUAGAAAUACUUUUCAGCAAAAACAACUUCAAGCCUUUUUUAAAUUGCAGACAGCUCUAUGACAAUAAAUUCAGAGAAAUUUUUUGAAUUCAGUGAAGUUCUUACAGCAGAGGAGAUGGGGAAGUCUAGAAAAAUAAAUGUGAUGGCUACAGCUUUUAUUCUUAUUUUAUUUAUUACUUUUUAUUUUAUUUAGGAGGUCAGCCCACUGUGAGUACAUCUCAUCAAAGUCCUAUCUACAUAAAUCUUGAUGUGUUCCAAAGUCCCAAGUCUUAUCUUAAAUAUCCUGACAGAGUUAGGGUCUUCCUGCUCUAUAGGAACAGUGCAGUUAAUAGUACUUGGCUCAAUAGUGACCUGAUUGAGACCUUAAUUUUUAAUCCUAUUAAAAUUAUCAGCACAGUGUCUAUCUCACUGAGGCCAAAGCAGCAGUAAAAAACCCCAUACAAUACUCCUGUACUUGGAGAGAUGCAAUGGAGUAGCAAAAUGGCAUAAGACUCCUUGCUUGGCUGCUGAGGUGAUGCAGACUUGCAGUACUUAAAAUACACUUGCCUCAGUAGUGACAUUCCUUAAAAUAAAUGCAAAGCUUCCUCAUGAAGUAAGAAUCAACCCCACAGAAAAUGGAAGUGUCUGGAAAUUAUGCAAAUAGUAACUAUGCUGGGAAUACUUUGAUAACCCUGCUCCAUUGUAUUGGAUCAUGCAGCUGUCAUGUCUACAGACGUCAAAUUAAUUUCUGAAACUUUGUAGCUACAGGAGAAUGUUUCCUGGUGUCAGCAUUACCAAUAUUAUUAAUUUUUUUCCGACAGCUUGAAGCGGAACUUGGCACCAUGUUUCUUGGCCUCUCCAAAUCUGGAUUACAAUGGAUACCAUAAACACAUAGAUUAAAUGCCUUCAUCUGAAAGCCCUGCUAAAUGGACUGCACCAUAUGCUGAGAUGGGAUUCUUGACAACAUUAGAUAAUCUCUUCAAAACUCCUUUGGUAAAGGAACCCAUGUAUAUAUGGGAGAGGGAUCAGGCUAGUCUGCAGUGAAAGAGGUGAAGUUCUUCAUCCAGUGUGUUGUCAGUUAUUUUAACAGCAGGUGGAAUACAUAUCUUACUGUGUUAUUUCAGCAAUAGACUUAAUUUUGGGGGCUGGGGGUGGGGGAAGGCAUCAAAUUAGAAAAGAUCAAAUUAGAAGAGGUGAGUGCUAAUUAUUAUGAUAAUGCACCAGCCUGGCCCAGAGGUAAUACACUCGGAAGACAUUUGGACCAAUUCCUUUUUCAUAUUGAAUUUAUUGUGGGGUAGGAAACAAGGUAUGGAUCUAUCUCACUUUUUUUGUUGUUUUGUUUUGUUUUUGUUGUUGUUUUUGUUUGGUUUUUUGUAUUAUUUUUAUAAACAAGUACAGCAAAAAAUACCUUACUGGAAAAAAGGUGUGGUUGGUUAAAUUGGUUGGUCUAGUCUUGACCUCUGUCUUUUGUUCCCAUCUCCUGCAUGAUAAAACUCCUUAGGGUAGCUUUUUUCUGUUGCAUUCACAGCACAGCCUGGCAGUGGUGUGCAGGCUUUCCAUGCCAGGAAGAGCAGCCCAAGCACAGGCUCUCCCACUGCUUCCCUUCCUGGGAACUUGAUCUGAGCAGGAGCCUUGUGGCUGCUCCAAGAUUUCCUUUGCAAGCAGUAAAGGAAGAGGAGGUUUUUCAGGGACUUAUAGUUUUUGGGUAGUCUGAAGAGGUGAAUCCUGGCCAAGAAGGAUGUCUGACCAUCUCUUAGCCUCAGCACCUCACCACAGAAUCUGGAGUCUAGCAGAACAAUAACAUUAAUACUGAUAAACUAUCAGAUGCUGCGUUAAAUGGAUCAACUCUAAUACCAGGAUAAGCGUUGUCACUUAAUAUGGAGUUGACUGGGAUAUUGAAGUUCUGUUCAUAGCCAAGAUAUGUCAGACACACAGAUACAUUAAUAUAGCCAAACUCCUUCCAGAACAAUUUAAAAGGAUGGGUUUUAAGCAUGGAACAUCACGGGUGCUUAAGAGAUUAGAUUAAUAAAGGAGCAGAGAAGGCAAAUAUAAUCACAAAUCUCAGCUAGUUCUGUUUUCAGAUUUUGCCAUCUUCUGCAUCUUCCUUUCCAAGUGUAGAUCUGAGAAACUAUGUCCAGAUGCCCCAAAGCCUGGUAUAUUAUGAGACUGAGACUUAUCUGAUUCCUUAUCCUUACCAAAGUUAAUUAAAGUCCCUUGUGACUGUCACUCUAGUUCUGCAUUUCUCCAUCCCUUUUUUUCCUCUUAUCACUAUCAGAUCAUGGAGGUUUUGCAGGAGGAAAUGUGACAGCUCUGCAUGCAAGUAGCCAAGCACUGCUUCAUCUCCUGGGGGGAGCUUGUGCUUUUCAUGCUCAGUCCUCAUCCACUUUAGGGAGUCUGGACUAUAACAUAUGGCAUUCAUCAUUAAGUCUGCCAAAGCUAGGGCUGAAACAGAGGCUGAGCUGCAUUAAUGCUGUAAUUUCAAUUCCUGCUCAUUAGCGCUGUUAUGAAUUGUUCUUCAUUUAUGUUCUGUCUCAGUUCCAGAGCAAGCCUGCAGGGAGAGAGGCUCUUUUUGGGGGUGAGGCAUGUCUGUGCCUGUGCUAUGUUUUGCCUAAUGCCUGAGACAGCAAGGACUGUGGGUGGUGGAGGGGGUGAUGGAUAGUAAAUCAUUAGGUACUAGAGAAAUACAAACUACUGAUCACACUUAACUGAAAAUCAAGACAGUUCCGGGGUGUAUCCUAGUAACAGCAGUCAUCCCAAGUCCAGGACAAUGCAUUAGUAGGCUUGAAGGGUCAAUGUUACCUGAAAAUGUAAAGCUGAAUAGAAGCUGCUAAGUGUUAAUUGGCUUGCAGUCAUUCCUCUCAAUACUGUUGCCAAGAAGACAGUAAAGGUGAUGGAGAGAGCAUCUCUGGUUUUAUCUAAGAAAAUGAGAUAUUUGUACUCUUCUGAAGAAAUCAGACUUGAAAGUAGAUGACUCAGAAAGAUUUGAUUUGCUGGGAUUUCUAUUGCUCUGUUGUAUUGUCCUGAACAGGUUAAGAAUGUCCUGAGUGAUAUUAUGGAAAUGCUUCCUGAGAAGCUUAACAUAGCAGAAAUCAUGCAGGAAGACUAUUGCCUGGAGACCUUAUGCUCUUGGUUGCCUCAAAGGGGGGAGCUGAUACUUUCUUCUCACAUGGAAGUGCUGCCAUAUACACUCUUCUGUGAUGCUGUGCCAGACACAAGGACUAAGCCAGCAUAUCCAUCCACAGCUUUGUCCAUUGCUGUAAUGUAGAGCAGGAACAACUGGCCUUAGGAUAAGAUGUGCUCGGUGUGCAAGGGAAGGAGCCUGUAUCUGCAUGCUUUCCAUGCAAAGUAAGAAUAAACUUAAAUUGCUUGAUCUCCUAGUUCAGGGACUCUAUUAGGCAGUGAAGCUGCAUCAAGAGUUGGACUAAAGCGUUGUAACCCUAUGAACAGCACCAAGAAGCUUAGGCAUGGUGCUAGAUUGCUGACAUUUGUCACUGUGGCUUUAAAUUUCAUACCAGCUUGGUGUUCUAAUCAUUAAACAUACUUCCUGCAUUUAAAUAACUGUUAAGUAUGUCUGAACAAGGUCUGCAUUCUAGUGAAGCAGUAGCUCUAAUCCAGCUGAGGUUCAGAAGCUUAAGGACUAUUCCAGAAACUAUAGAUUUCAUAGAAAUGAGCUUCUAGAAAAUUUUUGCAGCUCUCAAAAGGUGCAGAAUAGGAUUAGCAGUUAGCACAUGUUAGCAACCUGGAUCAAGUAAACUACACAACUCUAAAAAAAAAUUACAACCUAACCCCCACAAAAACAACCAACCUACCAAAAAAAACCCCAAACAUAAAACUCCACAAAAAUCAUCUGUAUAUUGUUUUUUUUCUCCUACCUUGACUGAAAGUUGCCAAUUCUAAAUAAACAGAUAUAAAGAAUUAUGAAUGUUUUAUUUGCUGGGUCAUAAUGCUUACAAAGCUUUCAGGGAGACAUACCAAGAAUAAAGGGAAGUACUUGAGAACACCUGUAUUGUGGGUCCCUUCCAACUCAGAAUACUCAGUGAUUCUGUGAUCAGCAUGAGGUAUAAUUAGGUGGGCAAAGUGUAAGAAUUAAAAGAGAUUUUUUCAUCUGGACUUUUAAGCAGUCAUUGCAGUAGCUGUAAUAGGGUUGUAGGCUGUCCCUGAAUGCAAACCAUGUCCACCUUUUGAGAUGCAACUCUUCUUUUAACAACCUUCACAUGAUUAACACCCUAUUUUGUUCUUUUGAAUCUGUAUCUUCCUGAGACUGAAGCAUCUAGUUCAGGAACGACAAUUCAGGCCUGCUGGUAACAUGAGAUUUUAGUUUUAACUGAGAAAAGUUGUCAACAAAGCUACAGCUCAUUAGAGAAAGGUUCAAGAAUGAUACUUACUGGAUCAAGCAGAGCUGACUUCACAUCUUCACCAUAUCGAUUUCGAAGACAUGGUCCACAGAACUGCCCCCUUACUCCUCCACAGCCCUGUUUGCGACAGAUUGUCUUUGUAUCGGUCGUCUUCUGUCGACACUGGUGGCAAGUACUACCCUAAGGUAGAAUGAAGAGAAGAACAUUUAUAUGAAGGGCAUCUUAAAUGCCCACUGAUGAGCUUUCCUAAUAAUAAUAAGCACAAACUUCAAACCAAAGUCAAAUUAAACAAUGAAGAGCAAGUUCUGUUACUAUGAUAAAUCAUACAACAAUGCUAGGAAUUUUACAGAGACAGUGCUAAGUUUCAGUUGCAAUGGAAUUCUCAAAUUACAGGAACCUCAUAAUUACA